This is a non-coding RNA of Podarcis lilfordi (Lilford's wall lizard), 77 nucleotides long. The record is from the annotation of a GenBank genome assembly. NCBI's taxonomy places the organism in Eukaryota, Metazoa, Chordata, Lepidosauria, Squamata, Lacertidae.
GCUUCUUGGGAUAGCUCAGUCAGCAGAGCAUGAGACUCUCAAUCUCAAGGUUGUGGGUUUGAGCCCCACGCUGGGCA